Molecule: ribosomal RNA, 404 nt
Filed under: uncultured bacterium
Lineage: Bacteria
Description: bacterial SSU rRNA
Rfam family: Bacterial small subunit ribosomal RNA
Source: RNAcentral
AACGAACGCUGGCGGCGUGCUUAACACAUGCAAGUCGAACGAGAAAGCGGGCUUCGGUCCGCUAGUAAAGUGGCAGACGGGUGAGUAACACGUGGGUAACCUGGCCCGGAGGUGGGGGACAACCCUCCGAAGGAGGGCUAAUACCGCAUGAUAUCCCUGAGGCUUCGGCCUUGAGGAUCAAAGCUAGCCUCUACAUGUAAGCUAGCUCCACCGGAGGGGCCCGCGGCCCAUUAGCUAGUUGGGAGGUAACGGCUCACCAAGGCGACGAUGGGUAGCCGGCCUGAGAGGGUGUUCGGCCACACUGGAACUGAGACACGGUCCAGACUCCUACGGGAGCAGCAGUGAGGAAUCUUGCGCAAUGGGCGAAAAGCCUGACGCAGCGACGCCGCGUGGAGGACGAAGGU